GCCAGGCAUAGUGGCUCACACCUGUAAUCCCAGCAGCUUGGGAGGCUGAGGCAGGAGGAUCCCGAGUACAAAGCUAGCCUCAGCAAAAGUAAGGCACUAAGCAACACAGUGAGACCCUGUCUCUA
This 125-nucleotide small RNA is filed under the name Marmota monax (woodchuck). Lineage: Eukaryota; Metazoa; Chordata; Mammalia; Rodentia; Sciuridae. The record is from RNAcentral.